AGGGUUUGAUUCUGGCUCAGGAUGAACGCUGGCGGCGUGCUUAACACAUGCAAGUCGAACGAAGCUGCUUAACUGAUCUUCUUCGGAAUUGAUGUUUUGUAGACUGAGUGGCGGACGGGUGAGUAACGCGUGGGUAACCUGCCCUGUACAGGGGGAUAACAGUUAGAAAUGACUGCUAAUACCGCAUAAGACCACAGCACCGCAUGGUGCAGGGGUAAAAACUCCGGUGGUACAGGAUGGACCCGCGUCUGAUUAGCUAGUUGGUGAGGUAACGGCUCACCAAGGCGACGAUCAGUAGCCGGCUUGAGAGAGUGAACGGCCACAUUGGGACUGAGACACGGCCCAA
RNAcentral lists this ribosomal RNA (346 nucleotides) under uncultured bacterium. RNAcentral's name for it is "bacterial SSU rRNA". It matches the Rfam family "Bacterial small subunit ribosomal RNA", at positions 8 to 334 of the family's 1533-position model. The record is from RNAcentral.